RNAcentral lists this unclassified non-coding RNA (222 nucleotides) under uncultured Actinomycetes bacterium. RNAcentral's name for it is "uncultured actinobacterium contains 16S-23S intergenic spacer region". Lineage: Bacteria; Bacillati; Actinomycetota; Actinomycetes. The record is from RNAcentral.
UCCGAGUUGUCCCCGGCGGUCCCCUUAGAGUCCCCGGCAUUACCCGCUGGCAACUAAGGGCAGGGGUUGCGCUCGUUGCGGCACUUAAGCCAACACCUCACGGCACGAGCUGACGACAGCCAUGCAGCACCUGUGCAGGGCCCCGAAGGACACGGGCUUUCACCCGCUUUAACUAGCAUGUCAAGCCUAGGUAAGGUGGGGAUGACGUGAGAGAGUACGUCC